UACGUAGGCGGAAAAUUAAGUCAGUAGUGAAGUCCUGCAGCUUAACUGUAGAACUGUUAUUGAUACUGGUUUUCUUGAAUAUAGUUGAGGUAGGCGGAAUGUGUAAUGUAGCGGUGAAAUGCUUAGAUAUUACACAGAACACCGAUUGCGAAGGCAGCUUACUAAGCUAUGAUUGACGCUGAGGUACGAAAGCGUGGGGAGCGAACAGGAUUAGAUACCCUGGUAGUCC
Molecule: ribosomal RNA, 229 nt
Filed under: uncultured bacterium
Lineage: Bacteria
Description: partial 16S ribosomal RNA
Rfam family: Bacterial small subunit ribosomal RNA
Source: RNAcentral